This 633-nucleotide ribosomal RNA is filed under the name uncultured bacterium. RNAcentral describes it as "bacterial SSU rRNA". It matches the Rfam family "Bacterial small subunit ribosomal RNA", at positions 10 to 649 of the family's 1533-position model. The record is from RNAcentral.
AGUUUGAUCCUGGCUCAGGAUGAACGCUAGCGGCAGGCUUAAUACAUGCAAGUCGAACGGUUACAGCAAUGUGACGAGUGGCGCACGGGUGAGUAACGCGUACAUAACAUACCUUUAACUGGCGAAUAGCCUUGGGAAACUGAGAGUAAUACGCCAUAACAUUGUAGCUUGGCAUCAGGCAGCAAUUAAAGUUCCGGCGGUUAGAGAUUGAUGUGCGUUGGAUUAGAUAGUUGGUGAGGUAACGGCUCACCAAGUCAACGAUCCAUAGGGGGCGUGAGAGCGUGGUCCCCCACACGGGUACUGAGACACGGACCCGACUCCUACGGGAGGCAGCAGUAAGGAAUAUUGGUCAAUGGGGGCAACCCUGAACCAGCCAUGCCGCGUGCGGGAUGAAGGCGUUCUGCGUCGUAAACCGCUUUUAGAGGGGAAUAAAUCCCGAUACGUGUAUCGGACUGAAGGUACCCUCGGAAUAAGCACCGGCUAACUCCGUGCCAGCAGCCGCGGUAAUACGGAGGGUGCAAGCGUUAUCCGGAAUCACUGGGUUUAAAGGGUGCGUAGGCGGUUUUGUAAGUCGGUAUUGAAAGUUUGCAGCUCAACUGUGAAAUUGGUAACGAUACUGCAAGACUUGAAUCA